RNAcentral lists this ribosomal RNA (486 nucleotides) under uncultured bacterium. RNAcentral describes it as "partial 16S ribosomal RNA". It matches the Rfam family "Bacterial small subunit ribosomal RNA", at positions 30 to 507 of the family's 1533-position model. The record is from RNAcentral.
AUUGAACGCUGGCGGCAUGCCUUACACAUGCAAGUCGAACGGCAGCACGGGUGCUUGCACCUGGUGGCGAGUGGCGAACGGGUGAGUAAUACAUCGGAACAUGUCCUGUAGUGGGGGAUAGCCCGGCGAAAGCCGGAUUAAUACCGCAUACGAUCUACGGAUGAAAGCGGGGGACCUUCGGGCCUCGCGCUAUAGGGUUGGCCGAUGGCUGAUUAGCUAGUUGGUGGGGUAAAGGCCUACCAAGGCGACGAUCAGUAGCUGGUCUGAGAGGACGACCAGCCACCCUGGGACUGAGACACGGCCCAGACUCCAACGGGAGGCAGCAGUGGGGAAUUUUGGACAAUGGGCGAAAGCCUGAUCCAGCAAUGCCGCGUGUGUGAAGAAGGCCUUCGGGUUGUAAAGCACUUUUGUCCGGAAAGAAAUCCUUGGCCCUAAUACGGUCGGGGGAUGACGGUACCGGAAGAAUAAGCACCGGCUAACUACGUG